Molecule: ribosomal RNA, 419 nt
Filed under: bacterium
Lineage: Bacteria
Description: partial 16S ribosomal RNA
Rfam family: Bacterial small subunit ribosomal RNA
Source: RNAcentral
UGGGGGAUAUUGCACAAUGGGCGAAAGCCUGAUGCAGCGACGCCGCGUGGGGGAUGAAGGCCUUCGGGUUGUAAACUUCUUUUGCUCUGAACAAGGCGCACCAUGGGGUGUGUUGAGUGUAGGGGUUGAUUAGCGCCGGCUAACUACGUGCCAGCAGCCACGGUAAUACGUAGGGCGCGAGCGUUGUCCGGAAUUAUUGGGCGUAAAGGGCUUGUAGGUGGCUGGUUGCGUCUGUCGUGAAAGCUCAUGGCUUAACUGUGGGUUUGCGGUGGGUACGGGCUGGCUUGAGUGCAGUAGGGGAGGCUGGAAUUCCUGGUGUAGCGGUGGAAUGCGCAGAUAUCAGGAGGAAUACCGGUGGCGAAGGCGGGUCUCUGGGCUGUUACUGACACUGAGGAGCGAAAGCAUGGGGAGCGAACAGG